Non-coding RNA from Anas platyrhynchos (mallard), 3759 nucleotides. The record is from RefSeq and is a predicted model, not a curated record. NCBI's taxonomy places the organism in Eukaryota, Metazoa, Chordata, Aves, Anseriformes, Anatidae.
CUGGAUGGGGCUUUGGGCAGCCUGGUCUGGUGGGAGGUGUCCUGCCCAUGGCAGGGGGUUUGACACCAUAUGGUCUUUAAAGUCCCUUCUAACCCAAACCGUUUUAUGAUUCUUUGAAUACAUUUGGACUUUUCUUCCUUGCAAAACUCGUAGAGCAUCUUGUUACAUGCUUAGAAAUAACAUGGAUUUAUGAAGGCAUACAGAAAGAAUGGAUGUAGUGAACCUUUAUUAAGACUCUCUGAAAACUUAAAAAUAAAUAGUUAAAAAUUAGGAAAAAAAAAUCAGGUUGUGUUUACUUCCAGUCAUAGACUGUGGUUUUCAGUCAGCUGGUUUAUGAGAGAGUUGGGACUGAAAGCUGUGUUUUUCUUAACUGGUUCAGCCUCUCCUAUACGUGACCAGCAUGGAUCCAGAACCUGCAAGAUACUGAUAAAUCUAUCAGAAGCAAAGGCAUUCAUCAUCUCAUAGAAAGUGCUCAUUGUCUAGUAGCACGAGGCCACGAUGUUUGUACAGUCUUCUAAAUUGGUGAAAGCAUUAAUUACACUGAAUAAUGGUAACCCUGGUAUCUUGGCAGACAUCUGAAACCUUGGAUAAUUAUAGUUUCUGUUAAGCAGAUUUUAGUUCUUCUCUGGAUUUUGAGUUUAGGGGACAGAAAUAAUUUUCAGAUAACCCAGUGUGAAUGGCUGCAAGUUUACCUGAGCUAAAAUGACUGAUAUACAGGACUAAAUGACUUUUUCUAAUGACUUCUGAUGAGAUCAUGUAUUUUUCCUAACUCUGAGGAGAUGGAAAGCAUUGAAAUUCAGUGCAAAAACAAACCAAACAAACUUGCAAAACACACUUUUAGCAAAGGAGUGCAACAUAAUGGAACAUGAAAUUAAAGGAAAAAAUGGAAUCAGUCUUGAUGAGGAUUGGAAAAUCUACAUGUCAGCAAAAAUAAACUUGUUACUUAAUAAGGUUAAUAAUAGAUAAAGUCCCCUAAAGAUAAAUUGUUAUCACAGUUGACGACCAUUUUAUUAAAAUGUUAAUGGCCUGAGGCAAAAGCAAACUGUUCCCUUAAUCUGCCAGAAGAACUGCUUUCUCAGGAAUUAUAUACGCCAGAGCACUUGGGAUCUGAGCUAACUGUAAUAAGCAUGUUUGAAAACUGGAGCAUCCACAGCUUGUGAAAUUGUGACUAAAAAAGAGCGGGUCUCACAUGUCUCAAAAUGGCUGUGUCCUUCUCUGCCAAACAAAACUUUCACUUGCAUUUUAGAAUGAAAGUCUGUCGGAUUCAAUUGCUGCAGUCAAAACAGCUGAAAUGUCAGUGACUGAAGAAAGGAUUUUCUCUUUGCCUUCUCCAUACAAACUGUGAAAGAGGUGUAGCUUAACAAAUACAAUUCCUGUGGUAGCAGACAGAAUGAAAACAAGUUUUCAUCAGCAUCUCUAAGCAUGGCAAAACUACGAAGCAACCUGGCAAGUAUGCUAAGCAUUCAUUGAAUUGUGAUGGAUUGCAGUAUGAUUUGUUUGGGCUGAGAACAUCAACAAAAAACCUGUGCAGGAUUUGACGAAAGCUCAGCUGUAUGGAGAGACUUUUUCUGUGAGCAUAGUAUCAGCUCAAAACACAAAGGAGCUGAUGAAGUUGAGUUCACAUCCUAUCUUUCCUUGUGACACAUGAAAUGCAUAUUCCCUAAAGCCUUUGGACACCUGAGCAAUGAGAAUGGAAAGAGAGCAACCCCAAAUGUGUGUUGCCUGUUUAGAGUGGCCCCACAGCAGCAUGUGCAAGUCUGCCCUGUGCAUGGGAGGUUGGAGGACAGCAGAAAUAGAAGAAAAUUGGAUAUCCCAGACUCCGUCUUCUGCUGAGGACUCAGCUGAAUCAAGCACUUUAGUUUGCAUACUUCGUGCCCCUGACUGGAUGUUCCAUGCCAAGAGCUGCUUACUGUCUCCAGUGCUUGGAGAAAGCUCGCCCCCUUUCUCAAAGACUAAACCAAAUAUAUUCUGUUCACUGUAUGCUAAUUAAGAAAUAAUGGACGCAGCAAAAGGGCAUUUCCUGGGGAUUAAUGACUGGCUGGGUGAGUGGAUGGCCUGAGACUUUUAAUUAGAAGUGCAAGCUUCCUCUGUUCUGUCACAGGAACUUCCAUUUAAAUUAGGUUCUAUUGAAUUCAGAGGUUUUUCAUGGCACUGAGUUCACCAGUGCUGACAGGUCCGUGCCCCCCCAGUUUAAUGGGUGGCAAAGCACACUAGAAAGAUAGCUUUCAACUGUCUCAUGGCUGUGAGAGUAUUGCUUCUACGAGUGUGUCCAAAGAUGCCCAUUUGUUCUGCUGGGGCCUUCAAAAAUUUUUCACUGGUUCACCUGUGGUAGUGAAAGAGUUGUUUUCAAAGUUGUGGAUGUGGGAGGUCAUGUCAGAGGAUCCUGUCCAUUGGGAGUCUAUGCUGAACCCCUUCACAGCCCAUCACCUAUGUAGAGAUGGGGAAGGGGGGGGGGAGCGGGUAGGAGGUGGAUUUGUGGAAGGAAUGAGAAAAAGAAAGUAUAUGGAAACCAGGGAUGUGUCUUGCCAAACAAAAAUAGGAGAAGCUUCUUUAUGUGCUGAGUGGGCCAUGGCAAUGGCAAUGGCAUAAACCUAAGAUAAGUAAAACUCCUUGAGUUUGGUUCCUUAAAAGCAAAAGAAAAGCAAAAGAAAACACAACUGUUAUGCGUUUUUGCUGUUGAAAAUCCAAGAUCUUUGCCUUGCCUGAGCAGAGGUUAUGCUAUAUGCGACCUUUGUUCCAAUCAAAGAGUAAAGCCCCAAGGCUUUAAAGAGCUGCUGCCAAAGGCAGCAUCUGUGUAGCUCGGUCAGGUCUGGGCAGGAGACCUGUUGGUCACAGCAGACCUGAGCUGGACCCAAGGCAGAACUCUGGAGUUACCUCUGUUGGGUGUGGAAGUGCCCAAACAUCUCCAACACAUGCCUGCCUGUCAUUGCUGAGCUGGGACGUUAUUUUCAUCUUCAGCUCUUCCAGAGCUUGUGCUCUAUCUCCCUUUAGUACUCAUUAGCAAAACAAAAGCAGGAUCAGGCCCUAAAUUUAUGGAAAUUAAAUGCUGUCAAAUCUGUUUAACUCCUCUAGGACUUUUUCACAACUUUAUUAUAGUUGCAUCAGAGGCUGAUUUGUUAGGAAAUAGUAACAUAUUUUCUGCUCCCCCUCUCAUAGCACUACUGUACAGAAACUGCUCUGACAGGGAACAAAAAUCUCAGGCUGAAUCAAGAAAACAAGUCAUCGUGCAUUUAGACUGCUAAAAUACAUUAUUGGAAAUAAAUUCAGUGUUAUGCUGAAAGUCAGCAAUGAAAUCUCAUUGAAGAUGGUGGGUGAGAAAGCCUCCCUUCCCUAAGGAAAAGCCUAAAAAUUGCCUUUUUUAUGGAACAUGCUCACUGAAACCCCAGGAGCCACACAUACCUACCACACCGCACACGCCUGGCAGCUCUGAGAGGUGGGGGCUGAGGCAUUUCUCCAGGAUCUGGCUCUAGGGACAAGGUGGCAUAUGAUGAAACUGAGCAGUUCAGAAAGCGACAGCAGAAACAUCAGAGAAGCAGACAGAAGAAGUUGCAAGGACACACCAGAGCCAGCGAGGAAAAUCCUUGUGGCCUGACCCUGAGAAAAAGCUAAAAGUGAGCAAGCUUGGGUUCUGGCUCAAAAGAAGCUUGGAAGUGUGAAAAGGGAAAGCACCGCCUUUUGUUUUGACUCCUGCUGUGCCCAGAGUAACAGGACAUUGUGUACAUUCUUGCUAAAUAAACAGAAGCAUAUUAACAAACACAA